GGGCUGGUGUGUCCUGAUAUUGGUCUGCUAGUGGGCGGGGACGGGGCCCUGUUGAUUCCAUGACUCUGGUGGCGCCUCCUGGUGUGUGAGGCUCUGCUAGAGGCUGGUGCAGUCCUCCUGGUGGGAGGGGCCUGUGCCCCUGCACUCAUAGGUGGAGCUGGGUCUUGGCCACAGGCCCUCUCUAGGGGCGUGUCCGGAGGCGGCAUGUCCUAGUCUAUAGACAGCCUGUGUCCUGAUGGGUGGGGCUGUGUCCCCUCCCAGCUAGGUGUUUGUCCUGAGGCAUCCCAGCAAGCUUCCCAGGUGGCUCAGUGGUGAAGAACCCACCUGCCAGUGCAGGAGACACAGCUUCGAUUCCUGGGUCAGGAAGAUCCCCCGGAGGAGGGCAUGGCAGCCCACUCCAGUAUUCUUGCCUGGAGAAUCCCGUGGACAGAGGAGCCUGGUGGGGUUCGGUCAGUCCACGGGUUGCAAAGAGUUGCACAGGACCUAGCAAGUGAGCACGCUCGCACGCCUUCCUGUGCCGGAGCUCACGCGUCAGAGCUCGCAGGCUGUUGGUGGAGCCGGAUCUUGAUGCUAAUGAGGCAAUCGCUCAGCGGCCGGGACUGUUUACAGUGAAUCUUCCUCGGUAUGUCCACUCCCGCGUCUCCGUCCCCAGGGUGAGCAGCAGCAGCAGGCGUUCCUCCUCACCCCUCCGCCGUCCCCACCUUCCCAGGAGACGCCCCAAGACCAGCAGAUGGUUGUGAUUUUGGUGUGGUCAUGCUGGGAGGUGAGCUCAGGCCAUUCUACUCUGCCCUCAGCUGAUUUGAGGAAUUCUGGAUCUCAAUGAAGAGUGUUGAAGUUCUCAAGUUAGCCUGAGGUGGAUUCCACUGGAGCAUGAAUGCAGAUCGAGUUUUUACUAUUUCUUUCUCUCUGAAGCUUUGCCGGAUUUCUAAUGCCAGGUGUUGCAUCUUGUCAAUAGGAUUUACAGAAUUUGAUGGCUUUGGACUGCUUAUCACUAGCUUUAUAUUUCUCGCCCCCAUUUUGCAGAGUGAGAGUACCUACUUUGGUAUUGAGCUUGACUUGUGACUUCAGACAGAUCUGUGUGCAUUUCUAUCAUAAAACCUCACUUAACUUAAAGGAACUGUUCACUUACAAGGAUUGGCAAGUGGCAAAUCAAAUACUUUGAAAAGGAUAAAUGUUGAAUGUUACACUUUUGUUGAUGUUUUAGCCCCAGUAUGUUUAUUGAUCUUUUCCAAUAAAUUGAUACUAUUUGCA
Molecule: long non-coding RNA, 1251 nt
Organism: Bos taurus (domestic cattle)
Lineage: Eukaryota; Metazoa; Chordata; Mammalia; Artiodactyla; Bovidae
Source: Ensembl